AACCUUAUGGACCUGCGGGCGUAUACCUGCGGAGGGAUCAUUACUGAGUGAGGGCCUUCGGGCUCGACCUCCAACCCUUUGUGAACACAACUUGUUGCUUCGGGGGCGACCCUGCCGUUUCGACGGCGAGCGCCCCCGGAGGCCUUCAAACACUGCAUCUUUGCGUCGGAGUUUAAGUAAAUUAAACAAAACUUUCAACAACGGAUCU
This 208-nucleotide unclassified non-coding RNA is filed under the name soil metagenome. RNAcentral describes it as "partial contains 5.8S ribosomal RNA, internal transcribed spacer 2, and large subunit ribosomal RNA". The record is from RNAcentral.